This 446-nucleotide ribosomal RNA is filed under the name uncultured bacterium. RNAcentral describes it as "partial 16S ribosomal RNA". It matches the Rfam family "Bacterial small subunit ribosomal RNA", at positions 338 to 795 of the family's 1533-position model. The record is from RNAcentral.
CCUACGGGCGGCAGCAGUCGAGAAUCAUUCACAAUGGGGGAAACCCUGAUGGUGCGACGCCGCGUGGGGGAAUGAAGGUCUUCGGAUUGUAAACCCCUGUCAUGUGGGAGCAAAUUAAAAAGAUAGUACCACAAGAGGAAGAGACGGCUAACUCUGUGCCAGCAGCCGCGGUAAUACAGAGGUCUCAAGCGUUGUUCGGAAUCACUGGGCGGAAAGCGUGCGUAGGCUGUUUCGUAAGUCGUGUGUGAAAGGCGCGGGCUCAACCCGCGGACGGCACAUGAUACUGCGAGACUAGAGUAAUGGAGGGGGAACCGGAAUUCGCGGUGUAGCAGUGAAAUGCGUAGAUAUCGAGAGGAACACUCGUGGCGAAGGCGGGUUCCUGGACAUUAACUGACGCUGAGGCACGAAGGCCAGGGGAGCGAAAGGGAUUAGAUACCCGGGUAGUC